GCCUGGCUGGCUCAGUCAGAAGAGUGUGUGACUCUUGGUCUCAGGGUCACGAGUUCAAAUCCCAUGUUGGGUG
RNAcentral lists this transfer RNA (73 nucleotides) under Canis lupus familiaris (dog). It matches the Rfam family "tRNA". From Rfam's summary of the family: Transfer RNA (tRNA) molecules are approximately 80 nucleotides in length. Their secondary structure includes four short double-helical elements and three loops (D, anti-codon, and T loops). Further hydrogen bonds mediate the characteristic L-shaped molecular structure. tRNAs have two regions of fundamental functional importance: the anti-codon, which is responsible for specific mRNA codon recognition, and the 3' end, to which the tRNAs corresponding amino acid is attached (by aminoacyl-tRNA synthetases). tRNAs cope with the degeneracy of the genetic code in two manners: having more than one tRNA (with a specific anti-codon) for a particular amino acid; and 'wobble' base-pairing, i.e. permitting non-standard base-pairing at the 3rd anti-codon position. The record is from Rfam by way of RNAcentral. Lineage: Eukaryota; Metazoa; Chordata; Mammalia; Carnivora; Canidae. RNAcentral also lists the same sequence under 1 other name.